GCUCAGCCAUUAACACAGAUAUUAAAACACAAUACUAUCCGCCAGAAAACUACUAGCGAAAAGCUUAAAACUCCAAGGACUUGGCGGUGCUUCAUAUCAACCUAGAGGAGUCUGUCCUUUAAUCGAUACCCCACGCUUCACCUAACCCCCCCUAGACAACAUCAGCCUAUAUACCGCCGUCGAUUAAGGCCCACCUUAUGAAAGAAAGAGAGUGGGCACAAUAGUUAACAACUAACACGUCAGGUCAAGGUGUAGCACAUGGGGUGGAAGAGAUGGACUACAUUUUACAAAACAAAAAACGAACAGCACAGUGAAACAUGCGCUUGAAGGCGGAUUUAGCAGUAAGGUAGACAAGAUAGACUACCUUAAACAUGCUCUGAAGCGCGC
Molecule: ribosomal RNA, 387 nt
Filed under: Tropidophorus micropus
Lineage: Eukaryota; Metazoa; Chordata; Lepidosauria; Squamata; Scincidae
Description: partial 12S ribosomal RNA
Rfam family: Bacterial small subunit ribosomal RNA
Source: RNAcentral